GACGAACGCUGGCGGCGUGCUUAACACAUGCAAGUCGAACGGUGAAGCGAGUGCUUGCACUCGUGGAUCAGUGGCGAACGGGUGAGUAACACGUGAGUAACCUGCCCAUCACUCUGGGAUAAGCACUGGAAACGGUGUCUAAUACUGGAUACGACCAACCCUUGCAUGGGGUGUUGGUGGAAAGAUUUAUCGGUGAUGGCUGGACUCGCGGCCUAUCAGCUUGUUGGCGGGGUAAUGGCCCACCAAGGCGACGACGGGUAGCCGGCCUGAGAGGGUGACCGGCCACACUGGGACUGAGACACGGCCCAGACUCCUACGGGAGGCAGCAGUGGGGAAUAUUGCACAAUGGGCGAAAGCCUGAUGCAGCGACGCCGCGUGAGGGAUGACGGCCUUCGGGUUGUAAACCUCUUUCAGCAGGGAAGAAGCGAAAGUGACGGUACCUGCAGAAGAAGCACCGGCUAACUACGUG
Molecule: ribosomal RNA, 469 nt
Filed under: uncultured bacterium
Lineage: Bacteria
Description: partial 16S ribosomal RNA
Rfam family: Bacterial small subunit ribosomal RNA
Source: RNAcentral